GCCAGCGCAUAUAUAGGAUGCAUCGAGUACUUGGUUAAAGUUUCUGCAACGCUCUUUAGGAAAUUCAUAAAGACCUAUAUCAUUCCGUGCAUCACUGUGGACAAUUUUCAUAUCCACAUCUACAUUAAAUGCCCUGGGCUUGCAAACGUAAUUGUCACAGAUGGGCAUGGGAUGCUGGAUGUCGUAUUCGCCCAGCCGCACAUUCCUGAAAAAAGUUUAUUCGAGAAUCACAUGAGUGAGAAAUAGUACAGUAUGCACUCACAUAAAAUCUUUUGAAAUGCAAUGCGCUGCCGUCAAAACAAAUCCUGCACGAACAUAGCACAAUAUGAGUGUAUAUUUCCGACUAUCAAUCUGCAGUACUUACGAGAAGUGAUGAGUGAACCGCCACAUUGUGAUUUAUUCAUGACCAUUACGCUGACCAUCCAAGGAUGCGCGAAUAUGCCUGCAUCACUACCAUCAAUCAUUGGGUGAAUCAUAUUAUCCUUGGUGGUUCCACAGUCGUUUUCCAGUAGAAGACUGGAUACCUCUUGAAUCCCAAUGAAAAGACAGACUACUAGCACCAACUGACACAUGACUAGCCGCAUCUUGCGAGACUAAAUAAAAAUAUGAUUGGGAUGAUCCACGCA
Drosophila yakuba is the source of this 626-nucleotide long non-coding RNA. RefSeq lists it as uncharacterized. NCBI's taxonomy places the organism in Eukaryota, Metazoa, Arthropoda, Insecta, Diptera, Drosophilidae. The record is from RefSeq and is a predicted model, not a curated record. The transcript has 2 exons.